This 446-nucleotide ribosomal RNA is filed under the name uncultured Propionibacteriaceae bacterium. Its description in RNAcentral is "bacterial SSU rRNA". It matches the Rfam family "Bacterial small subunit ribosomal RNA", at positions 338 to 795 of the family's 1533-position model. The record is from RNAcentral. Lineage: Bacteria; Bacillati; Actinomycetota; Actinomycetes; Propionibacteriales; Propionibacteriaceae.
CCUACGGGAGGCUGCAGUGGGGAAUAUUGCGCAAUGGGCGAAAGCCUGACGCAGCAACGCCGCGUGCGGGAUGACGGCCUUCGGGUUGUAAACCGCUUUCAGCAGGGACGAAGCAACACGUGACGGUACCUGCAGAAGAAGCACCGGCUAACUACGUGCCAGCAGCCGCGGUGAUACGUAGGGUGCGAGCGUUGUCCGGAAUUAUUGGGCGUAAAGAGCUUGUAGGCGGUCUGUUGCGUCGGAAGUGAAAACUCAGGGCUUAACCCUGAGCCUGCUUUCGAUACGGGCAGACUUGAGGAAGGUAGGGGAGAACGGAAUUCCUGGUGGAGCGGUGGAAUGCGCAGAUAUCAGGAGGAACACCAGUGGCGAAGGCGGUUCUCUGGACCUUUCCUGACGCUGAGAAGCGAAAGCGUGGGGAGCAAACAGGCUUAGAUACCCCAGUAGUC